RNAcentral lists this ribosomal RNA (434 nucleotides) under Lachnospiraceae bacterium oral taxon 107. Its description in RNAcentral is "bacterial SSU rRNA". It matches the Rfam family "Bacterial small subunit ribosomal RNA", at positions 28 to 444 of the family's 1533-position model. The record is from RNAcentral. Lineage: Bacteria; Bacillati; Bacillota; Clostridia; Lachnospirales; Lachnospiraceae.
GAUGAACGCUGGCGGCGUGCUUAACACAUGCAAGUCGAACGAAGCUGCCCAAAGGAAGUUUUCGGAUGGAAUUUAGGUAGACUUAGUGGCGGACGGGUGAGUAACGCGUGGAUAACCUGCCUUAUACAGGGGGAUAACGGAGAGAAAUUUCCGCUAAGACCGCAUAAGACCACAGCACCGCAUGGUGCAGGGGUAAAAUAUUUAUAGGUAUAAGAUGGAUCCGCGUCCGAUUAGCUUGUUGGUGAGGUAGAGGCUCACCAAGGCGACGAUCGGUAGCCGGCCUGAGAGGGUGAACGGCCACAUUGGGACUGAGACACGGCCCAAACUCCUACGGGAGGCAGCAGUGGGGAAUAUUGGACAAUGGGGGGAACCCUGAUCCAGCGACGCCGCGUGAGUGAAGGAGUAUUUCGGUAUGUAAAGCUCUAUCAGCAGGG